GGACUGUUAGCUUAGCGGUAGAGCAUUCGGCUGUUAACCGAAAGGUCAUAGGUUCGAACCCUAUACAGUCCU
Molecule: transfer RNA, 72 nt
Filed under: Clostridiales bacterium
Lineage: Bacteria; Bacillati; Bacillota; Clostridia; Eubacteriales
Description: tRNA-Asn
Rfam family: tRNA
About the family: Transfer RNA (tRNA) molecules are approximately 80 nucleotides in length. Their secondary structure includes four short double-helical elements and three loops (D, anti-codon, and T loops). Further hydrogen bonds mediate the characteristic L-shaped molecular structure. tRNAs have two regions of fundamental functional importance: the anti-codon, which is responsible for specific mRNA codon recognition, and the 3' end, to which the tRNAs corresponding amino acid is attached (by aminoacyl-tRNA synthetases). tRNAs cope with the degeneracy of the genetic code in two manners: having more than one tRNA (with a specific anti-codon) for a particular amino acid; and 'wobble' base-pairing, i.e. permitting non-standard base-pairing at the 3rd anti-codon position.
Source: RNAcentral